UGGAUCCAGACUUUGAUUCUGGCUCAGGACGAACGCUGGCGGCACGCUUAACACAUGCAAGUCGAACAGAGAUAUUUGAGUUUACUUAGAUAUCUUAGUGGCGGACGGGUGAGUAACACGUGAGCAACCUGCCUUUGAGAGAGGGAUAGCUUCUGGAAACGGAUGGUAAUACCUCAUGACAUACGGUUAUCGCAUGGUGACUGUAUCAAAGAUUUAUCACUCAGAGAUGGGCUCGCGUCUGAUUAGAUAGUUGGUGAGGUAACGGCUCACCAAGUCGACGAUCAGUAGCCGGACUGAGAGGUUGAACGGCCACAUUGGGACUGAGACACGGCCCAGACUCCUACGGGAGGCAGCAGUGGGGAAUAUUGCACAAUGGGGGGAACCCUGAUGCAGUGAUGCCGCGUGGAGGAAGAAGGUUUUCGGAUUGUAAACUCCUGUCUUAAAGGACGAUAAUGACGGUACUUUAGGAGGAAGCUCCGGCUAACUACGUGCCAGCAGCCGCGGUAAUACGUAGGGAGCGAGCGUUGUCCGGAAUUACUGGGUGUAAAGGGAGCGUAGGCGGGACGGUAAGUCAGAUGUGAAAGGUGGAAGCUUAACUUCCAAGCUGCAUUUGAAACUGCUGUUCUUGAGUGAAGUAGAGGUAAGCGGAAUUCCUGGUGUAGCGGUGAAAUGCGUAGAUAUCAGGAGGAACACCGGUGGCGAAGGCGGCUUACUGGGCUUUUACUGACGCUGAGGCUCGAAAGCGUGGGUAGCAAACAGGAUUAGAUACCCUGGUAGUCCACGCUGUAAACGAUGAUUACUAGGUGUGGGGGGACUGACCCCUUCCGUGCCGCAGUUAACACAAUAAGUAAUCCACCUGGGGAGUACGGCCGCAAGGUUGCAACUCAAAUGAAUUGACGGA
This 901-nucleotide ribosomal RNA is filed under the name uncultured Bacillota bacterium. Its description in RNAcentral is "bacterial SSU rRNA". It matches the Rfam family "Bacterial small subunit ribosomal RNA", at positions 1 to 917 of the family's 1533-position model. The record is from RNAcentral. Lineage: Bacteria; Bacillati; Bacillota.